Labrus bergylta (ballan wrasse) is the source of this 1472-nucleotide non-coding RNA. The record is from RefSeq and is a predicted model, not a curated record. Lineage: Eukaryota; Metazoa; Chordata; Actinopteri; Labriformes; Labridae.
ACCACAAACCAUGUAUCGCAUUAGCAGCAGAAAUUCUCACCUCGAGGACGCUUCAGUCAUAUGUUCAGAGAGUCAACAUGGAGGUCUGUGCUCUUAACAUCAGGCUGUUGAUCUGUGUGUUAUUCCUGCUGGGUGCACAUGUUCAAAAUGUGGAUUCACUGAUUCUCCGUCUUGAACCAAACAGACUGCAGUUCUUUGACUACGAUUCUCUGAUCUUCCAUUAGGACAGUGGGCAAUACUGGUGUGAGUCCAGAGAUGGGAAGAGAAGCGACAUCAUCCACAUCACUGUUACUGAUGGUCCUGUGAUCCUGGAGAGUCCCAUCAGUGUGGUGGAGGGAGAGACUGUGACUCUGCGCUGCAGACACAAGACGACCUCUACCAAUCUCUCAGCUGAUUUCUACAAAGAUGGCCACAAUAAUAGUAGAAGCUCUACAGGAAACAUGAGCAUCCCCAGUGUUUCCAAACGUGAUGAAGGAUUCUACAAGUGUAUCUCUGGAGGAAGAGAAUCAGCCGAGAGUCUGAUGGCUGUCCAAGAAUCACACCAAGAGAUUCAUGAGUCCUCAGAGCUUCCGUUCAUCAUCUUCAGAAACGUUCUCCCUGUAGUAUUGAUGGCUUUGCUGCUGCUGGGACGGCUCCACUGUGGGAUAACUCCGAGGUAAACCCACAGGUAAACAACAGCACCUUGUGCACUCAAAUCGAGAUGGAGAUACUGAAAUAAAGGAUACGACGGGAUGAACAACAAAAACAGACAUUUUCUCCAAAGUCUUGUUUGGUUGCCAGAAAUGAAGAGCAUCCCAUAAUGCUUCAUUCAGCUACUCAGCUGCUGUCUUCCUUGUUAUAGUGCACCUUGUUCAUUAUAUGUAAUGAUGAUCCACUUAAAUUCAGUGCAUGUUGUGCAAACCAAUGAAAACAUUUUUAAUCAGCUUAAAGAAUCCAAUCCAUAGAAAUGUUUUGAAAUGAGCAGAUCAAAGAAAAUGGCAGCACUUCCUGUUUGACAGGUUUCACAUAUUUAAUUCAGAUGUUGAUGAAUGUUCAACAGAAGUUCGUUCUUCUUCUGUAUAAGGACCUGAAGAUAUCACAAGUCAAAUAACAUUGUGCACAGUUUGUUUCAGUGUCUUUCUAUAUUUAAUAUUCACAUCUGAGACCACGUCUUCUCUAACCCUGACCCACGAGCCACAACUCAUCUCAGCGUUAUUUAUAGAGCACCUGUCAUACGUAAAGUCUGUGAGCCCAUAAUGUUUGUGUGAACACCGUCACUGUUAAAAAAAGACCCGAGAUUAAAAUUGUCUAUAAAACCCACAUCAUGUGCUGCCCAAGCAAUCAGCAGGUGCAGCGCGGAGCUUCACUUCCUGCUCAUAUCUAAAUAAAAUAUCAACAUAUAAUACGAACAUUUGUGAUGGUAACAUGAACAUUUAAACUGUAAUAUUCCACUGAAUGUUUUUAGAUCAACAACAAUGCAAAACAUGUCUGUC